UGUUUAUUGAUGUUUAUUGCAUGUCGUGAUAGUUUUAUAUAAAUAUAUGAUUGGAACUUAAAAAAUCCCACCAUAACUAGAUAAAAACAUGAUAUACACAGUCGGAUAUGGUGUGAGCAAGUAUGAUAUUGAAGAUGCAGAGCAGCGGGGCAUGCGGCAUGAUGGCAAUAAUGCCACAUAAGUUUCUUUUGAACCCUUUUGAAAAUCUCAUUUUUAUCAUUUACUUAGCUAAAACCAAUUCGUCAUUCAGAACACAAUUUUGCAGAAAUAUAGAUGAGAAGGUAUAGUUUUAGCAAGGAUUUGUUUAUCGAAAUCCGUGAUUGUAAGUGAAACAG
RNAcentral lists this long non-coding RNA (335 nucleotides) under Mytilus galloprovincialis (Mediterranean mussel). The record is from RNAcentral. Lineage: Eukaryota; Metazoa; Mollusca; Bivalvia; Mytilida; Mytilidae.